This 288-nucleotide ribosomal RNA is filed under the name Acinetobacter sp. 4AS73. RNAcentral's name for it is "partial 16S rRNA". It matches the Rfam family "Bacterial small subunit ribosomal RNA", at positions 20 to 310 of the family's 1533-position model. The record is from RNAcentral. Lineage: Bacteria; Pseudomonadati; Pseudomonadota; Gammaproteobacteria; Moraxellales; Moraxellaceae.
UGGCUCAGAUUGAACGCUGGCGGCAGGCUUAACACAUGCAAGUCGAGCGGGGGAAAGUAGCUUGCUACUGGACCUAGCGGCGGACGGGUGAGUAAUGCUUAGGAAUCUGCCUAUUAGUGGGGGACAACAUUCCGAAAGGAAUGCUAAUACCGCAUACGUCCUACGGGAGAAAGCAGGGGACCUUCGGGCCUUGCGCUAAUAGAUGAGCCUAAGUCGGAUUAGCUAGUUGGUGGGGUAAAGGCCUACCAAGGCGACGAUCUGUAGCGGGUCUGAGAGGAUGAUCCGCCA